UGCUGUGUUGUUAUUGUUGCCUGCGGGAAUCGCCUUUCUGCGCUCUGCCUUGUUUGUGCCUCUGGGGCUUCCGUAGCCCUGCUGAGGGAUGUAUUUGACUCUCUGACUGAAUCAGAUUCUGGAAAGAAACAACAAUCUUGGUGAUAUCAUCGAAUUAAAGCAGAAAUUCAGAGAAAAGCACAGUUCUCCUGCUCGUGUUUAUGCAUUCGCUUCGACUCCACAGCAGGGAGUUUUUAUCAAUAUUGAUUUUUUUAAGCAUUUUCUCUUAAAUGAAAAUUCCCCUUGAAACUUA
Molecule: long non-coding RNA, 292 nt
Organism: Poecilia latipinna (sailfin molly)
Lineage: Eukaryota; Metazoa; Chordata; Actinopteri; Cyprinodontiformes; Poeciliidae
Exons: 2
Source: RefSeq, a predicted model, not a curated record